CCUCGAUGGUGUUGAUCCUCAUGGCCGGCACCUGACCAGGCACUGGAGGUGGUGGUGGCGGUGGAGGAGGCACGGGACAAAGUCCUGAAACGAUUAGCGAUUUACACCUUUCUAUUUUCAAGUGUGCAAAGUAGUCGAGAGCAAGAAGAUUUAUUUCCUGGGCGACACGGUAGCCGCUGCUGUCGUGUGUUUGCCGUCGGUUCAACUGAAUUGCUUUUGGAAUUAUCAAGGAAAGAAUGAGAAACGGUAACCUAAAUAUGUAUCGUCGCGACCGCAACUUAUCUUUCGAUGACUCGACUAUGUUUCAUCGCCUAAUCCUUUUAAGGAAGUCAUCGCGCGUAGGAAGGUUGCUCCGUUUAAUUAGUUUGAGAAACCCGCGACCAUUCUCUUUAAUAAAUCUGUCUGUUAUAAAUCACACAAAUGUCUUAAAAAUUAUUGCAUUUUAAUAUUUUCUUUAAAAUCUUGUUAAAUGUUACUCUGAACACUUUGUGGCUCAAGUUACAGAUAUACAUAUAUAAUGUUAUUAUGCAAUAAACAUAAUUUAUAUGUAUAUAUAUAUAUACAGGGUGGUUGGCAACUGGUGGUACAAGCGGAAAGGGGAUGAUUCUACGCGAAAAAAGAAGUCGAAAAUAUAGAAUAAAAUUUUUUUUUAAUUUUUUUUAAUUUUUUCCAUCGGGACAACGAUCUACAGUAAGAUCCGUUAUAACGUACCGCACGCGUACCGAGCGAAAAUUCAAAGUCGAUUUUCUCGAAAACAAAGCCCCAAACGAAAAAUUUUUAUUCUAUAUUUUCGACUUCUUUUUUCGCCUAGAAUCACCCCCUUUCCGCUUGUACCACCAGUUACCAACCACCCUGUAUAUAUUAUAUAACGUGUAUUGUUUAAGAAAGAUAUAAAUUACAUGUGCAUUCACAAUAAACAUUUCUAUUUGAAAUUGGUUUUGGCAAAAGUACCAUUACGCGACGGUACGACGUAGCCAUACCAUAUUUUGUGUUGGGUUUACAUUUUUAACAUUUGUAAUUUAAUUUAAGCUGCUCAAAAGCGGUAUUUUUAUACAAUAUUAUCUUUUCUUUCUUCUCCUGUCCUGAAAACUAGGUCGCAAAAUAGGACAGAUCAGUAGCCUACUUUUAGUUCCUGCGAGGUUAAGUGACUGCGGGAAGGGUGGGGGAAGGAGGAGUGGAGUGGGUAGGGGAUGUCAUUUAGAUUUAUUUACAAUAUUUACACUUAUUGUACAGGCAGAGAGAUUGGACGCUACUGACGUUUUGCGGUCCUCUCUCUUUUUUUCUUUUUUUUUAUGAUUUCAAUAUCCACCAAUACUUUUUUAUGUUUUUCUGUGUUUGCCUUUUGUGUCAUUCUGCGUUAGAGCCAUAUUGUAUCCCCAUAUUGUAUGAGCCAUAUUGGGUAUAUUGUUUUCAUCUUGGAGGUAAUUUUUUCCAUCUAGGUAUAAGAACGUUUCUGGGGGAAUAUGGCCUGUUUUGAAUGUAUUAUCGUGGUACUAUACUAAUUUAUCUUUCGUUAAAAUUGACAAAUGUAACUUGAAAUAGAAAUAAAAUGGUAUCGAUGCAGGUCGAUAAAUAAGCUUAUAAUUUUCAGAAUACUCUGAUGCUUUAUAAUCAAUUUAUGGUAGGUUUGAACCAGGGCCGGCGCAAGACAGGUUCAGCGCUUUCGCCGGAACCCGGCCACGCGUUUUGAGAGGCUCCGCGGUCUAUGAAAAUUACCCAAUUAAAAAAUACAAAUUUUGAUUAACUUUUUACAGAAUGACGAUACCAUUAACAGAUGCAAGACAUAUUUUUAGUAGCGAUGAUUUAGUUUAAAGAAGUGAAAAAAUCAUGAAAGGUCAGUGUAAUUCCGUAAAUCCUGGAAACUACUUUAGAUAAAAAAAAAUCCAGGCGCUUUCAGAGAAAUGAACUUUUUAGAGAAAUUAAACUACAUCAACACUUUUUUCGCAAAAGUCAUACAAUGAUUACAAAUUUUCUACUUUCAUUGAAUUUUUUGCCUCUUGAAAGCGAAUUAUGCAUGCGAAAAAAUAUUACUUGAAUUUGUUUAAAAAACUGCUUAUAAACAAUAUAUAAUACGUAACAGCAUUUGUAAAUUAAUAAUUCGUCGUUGUAAAAUUUAAAUGUAGGAUUUCAAUGUGUAUUCAGGACCCCCAAAUUUUUAGACCCGGGCCCUCAAAAAGUCACGCCAGCCCUGGUUCAAACUAUCCACGUCUAAAUGCAAUAUUUCACCCUAACACGUUACAUUUUUUGCUGCAGAGAAUCAUAGUCGAUAUACAGGGUGGUUGGUAACUGGUGGUACAAGCGGGAAGGGGGUGAUUCUACGCGAAAAAAGAAGUCGAAAAUAUAGAAUAAAAAUUUUUCGUUCGAGGCUUUCUUUUCGAGAAAAUCGACUUUGAAUUGUCUCUCGGUACGCGUGCACUUUAUCACGUCUCGUUAUAACGGACUUCACUGUAGAUCGUUGUCUCGAUGGAAAAAUAAAAAAAAAAUUUUUAUUCUAUAUUUCGACUUCUUUUUUUCGCGUAGAAUCACCCCCUUUCCGCUUGUAUCACCAGUUACCAACCACCCUGUAUAAUACGUAACAGCAUUUGUAAAUUAAUAAUUCCUCGUUGUAAAAUUUAAAUGUAGAAUUUCAACGUGUAUUCAGGACCCCCAAAUUUUUGGACCCGGGCCCUCAAAAAGUCACGCCAGCCCUGGUUCAAACUAUCCACGUCUAAAUGCAAUAUUUCACUCUAACACGUUACAUUUUUUGCUGCAGAGAAUCAUAGUCGAUAUAUAUUAGGUUGUCCGAACAGUUUCUUUCGUUUCACAAGGUCAUAAUAGACGGACAAGAAUUUCUGUUUUAUAUUAUUUUAUUGAAUUAGGUAUGAUUCAUUUCGUUCUAUUUCUAUUAUUACGUUUGUGCAUAAUUCAAUAAACUAAUACAAAACAAAAAACAUUGUGCAUUUAUUAUUUCCUUAUAAAACGAAAGGAACUUUUCGGACAACCUAAUACAUGUAUAUUCAUAUGAAUGUAAUAUUACAUCUACAUUUAUUUUACCACAAGACAUUCUACUCGAAAAUCAGUAUAACUGGACCUGAAAUAAUCUUUAGAUAAUAGGAGCUAUUAAUGGUUAGUUUUGACGGCGCGCGAAACGUUCGUGGCACGAAAAAUGGCCAGCAGUCAUUUCACUGACGAAAUUACGUGUAGCUUAUGAUGAUCCGCUAUUUAAAGAGUCGUUAUUUUUACAGUACAGUUUCAAGCAGCGAUCGACCAACUAUCUGCUCGAUAUUGAUAGUUCUCUAUUUUUGCUGGUCCCGUUGUCAGUGUACUUGAUCCACUAUAUUGUCCAUUUUCUUUCAACAAGGUGAUUGAACUUUUUAUAAAAAUUCGUUUUAGCAGUUGCGAAAGCUCGUUGAUCAAUAACAAAAGAUCUGUCUAGUCGUUUAUCAAGGAAGAUUUACGAUUUCUAAAAUUCGCGAAAUAAGGUAAAUUUCUUUCCAGAUAAUGUUUGAAUGUAAUUCAAAAUUAUAGCAUCUCAUUGAGAAACUUUACCAUUUCAUAAACUCCGAUUAUUUGGGGUUAGGUUUCCAACUAACCGUCCAAGUAUCAUCGUUCUCUUUCUAUAUUAUGUAUAAAAAACAAAUACUAAUUUUGUGGCACAUUUACAAGCAUCUAAGAACAGUCUAGUCUCAAGAUACAGAAACGUAUUUCGCAAAACAAUGUUCGGCCCAUGGCAAACUCUCGAUGGCGUGCGAAAGUCUCUUUUAAUAAUAGAAUUUUGGAGAUAUGGCUUCGACACGACGUCGCUUUUUUGGCAUGCUAAUCGGUGCCACGUGUCUUCUUGUUCUCGAUUAAAUUACAUAUAUUGCCACUACCAAAACAAUCGAACCGGUAGAAAAUUCAAAAAAAUUGUUCGAUUAACCCAUUCCAACCUAACCCUAAAACGAGAUCGUAAUAUUUGCAAGAAAAACGCUAUCAAAAUCAUCAACCGUGAACCCGCCCUUGACUAAUUUUAACAUUGAAUCAGACAGAUGACGUCAUUGUUAUCAUGACUGGAAUCGUAAUUCACGCGGUCGACUUUCUCGGAAAACGCGUUGAUCGUUUCCACGCUGCAAAAUUUUGCAGGAGAAACGAGACUGGAACGACGAACCAACUGAAAAAAAUAAUAAACACCGAGGGCGCUCGAAUAGUUUGCCUCAGCUUUUAGUCGAUUCUAGGUGGCGUAAAAUCGAUUGUUAUUUCUGCUGUACUUUCUCAAUUAUGCGAAUGUUUAUGCGAAUAAUCAAACAAAUUAAACUAAAUUCGUUUCGUCUAUUAGAUAUCAUAACUUGUACUUUUCCUUAGAUGUUUUAUAUAUUUUUCCACGUUACGUGCAUUCUGCAGACUGUUCCAUUGAAAUGUCCCAUAAAUAUGGUUUAUGGCGCAUGGUUUUCAAUUUUAUACCGAAGUUUCCCUCGAAACAAAUGAAAAUUCUCUUACUUGUUAAACGAAGAUGAGUUUCUCGUAUUUCACUCAUCUAAUCUUUUGUUUAUGAUUCAUCCGUGGAAUUCGUGAUUUACAUAAAUCUUUAGAACCCAAUUGGCACUCAUUUGCGGUUCAGCAGUUGUUGUCGGUCGUUAAGAGUUAACCUACGUUCUACAAAUUUGAUGGUUCUCCGUGACAAAAAACCUCGUUGUAAAUAUAAUAUCAAAGGAUAAAAUGAAAACACGGAAAUGUGUUUUCUGCGAUUAUUCCGAUUAAAGGAUGCAGGUUCUCGCAAAAGACGAACUUUCUCGGAAAAGCUCGGUGAGGGCGAGCGGUGGUGGCGCGGUGUCGCGAUGCUCGGAACCCAGCCAACAACAGGCCGUGGCUUGUACCAAUGUAUUUAGGUAGAUACGCGAGGCGUAGUUAAAUUUAGCGCGGUUCGACCUGCGCGUUACCGCGCCGCACAAAAUGCUUCCGAUUAUUUUAUUUUUAGGGCUUCGACGCGUCGUGGCUCCUCCGCGAGCAAGGCGAGCACACGUCAGGUGUCCGAUACCGAGCCGAUCGGCGAAUUAAUUUGUCAAACGCUGUUUGCCUUGCGCCAGAAACCGAACAAACUAAAAGGUAUCCGAUCCAAGUUUUUCUACUCAAUUAUUCCAGUUUGAUACAAAAUUAUAACUAAAUCGCCUCAACGACGACGAUUAACCAAAAAAAAAAAAAAAAAAAAAACAGAGAAAA
Long non-coding RNA from Bombus huntii, 5175 nucleotides. RefSeq lists it as uncharacterized. The transcript has 2 exons. NCBI's taxonomy places the organism in Eukaryota, Metazoa, Arthropoda, Insecta, Hymenoptera, Apidae. The record is from RefSeq and is a predicted model, not a curated record.